GGAACAAUGUGUCAUCUUCAGAAGUGUCUUUGUGAGCUGAAACACUGCCAUCAUUCACAGAGAGCAACAUGUUUUGUAUGCUGUGGAUCAUCUUUCAGACGAUGGCUCUCCUGGUGGAAGCUGGAGGACAGUCUUCAGGUAGUGGUGAGGCUGGUGGUGGCAAUGGAGGAGUUGUGAAUGGAGGCAUGGUCGGAAACGCUGUUAACCCAGGGGUUAUGAAUGGGCUUGUCUUAAAUGGGCAACCCUUUCUGGCUCAGGUGGUACCAGUUGGUGGAUCAUUACUUAUUCAAC
Coregonus clupeaformis (lake whitefish) is the source of this 291-nucleotide long non-coding RNA. RefSeq lists it as uncharacterized. Lineage: Eukaryota; Metazoa; Chordata; Actinopteri; Salmoniformes; Salmonidae. The record is from RefSeq and is a predicted model, not a curated record. The transcript has 5 exons.